RNAcentral lists this microRNA precursor (242 nucleotides) under Amborella trichopoda. RNAcentral's name for it is "MIR8562 microRNA precursor family". It matches the Rfam family "MIR8562 microRNA precursor family". Lineage: Eukaryota; Viridiplantae; Streptophyta; Magnoliopsida; Amborellales; Amborellaceae. The record is from Rfam by way of RNAcentral.
UUUUCUACAAAUCGGAAUGACCUGAAAUUUGGAGCAUGUGUUUAUCAAAAGUAGGAGAAUCUACGAAAAAUGUCAAAAAAACAUUUUACAUGAAAAAAUUGACCAAAAUACCUCCGAAAAUUUUUGGGGGUAUUUUGGUCAAUUUUUUUUUCUUGAAUUAUUUUUUUGUACAUUUUUAUUAGGUUUGCCUCACUAAGAUGUACACAUGCUCCAAAUUUCAGGUCAUUCUGAUUUGUAAAAAA